AAAGGUUUUGAAAUCCCUGAUGCUUUACCAUGGCAUCUUGUAGAUGAGGUCUACAUUCCGAUUAACUGCGAUCAAGAAUUCCAUUGGGUGCUGGCAGUUGUUGAGUUGAAAAAGAGGGUGAUAAGAGUUUUUGACUCAUCAAUAUGCACAAGGAAAAAAGUCAUUUCUCAUGAGAUAAAAAUGUUGUCUAAAAUGCUUCCUUUUUACUUACUGGACAGUGGAUUCUUUGAAGAAACUGAGCACACAAAAUUUGGUGAUUGUCAUGCAUACAAA
Molecule: unclassified non-coding RNA, 273 nt
Filed under: Hevea brasiliensis (rubber tree)
Lineage: Eukaryota; Viridiplantae; Streptophyta; Magnoliopsida; Malpighiales; Euphorbiaceae
Source: RNAcentral